UCGAGCACGCGCGUGUGGCAUAUCAAUAAGCGGAGGAAAAGAAACUAACAAGGAUUCCCUUAGUAACGGCGAGUGAAGCGGGAAGAGCUCAAAUUUGAAAUCUUCAAGGUUCUACCUUGACGAAUUGUAGUUUAUAGAAGUGUUUUCUGUUAGUAGAGUGGCAAAAGUUCUUUGGAAUAGGACAUCACUAGAGGGUGAGAAUCCCGUAUUUGGUCAUCUUUCUAGCUUUGUGAUACACUUUCAAAGAGUCGGAUUGUUUGGGAAUGCAGUCCAAAAUGGGUGGUAAAUUUCAUCUAAAGCUAAAUAUUGGCGAGAGACCGAUAGCGAACAAGUACCGUGAGGGAAAGAUGAAAAGAACUUUGAAAAGAGAGUUAAACAGUACGUGAAAUUGUCAAAAGGGAAGCGUUUGACACCAGUGUUGUUUUUCCGAAAAUCAAUUACGAAUGUUUUGUUUUUAAGAGUUAUGACUUCAUCGGCUUGCUUCCUUUCUUUAUGAAACUUUCUUAAUGCACUUUUCGGUUAACAAGUCAACAUCAAUUUCUUUUGUUGUAAAAGGGUAUGAGGAAGGUGGCUUUCUUUUCGGAGAAAGUGUUUAUAGCCUUGUGCCUCUACAAUCGGAGAGAUUGAGGUCUGCAGCGUAGAUCCUUCGGGGUUAGAUACGUUUGUGCUAAGUUAUAGCUUUUCAUAGACAACUUGUUGACUAUGUUUAGUCUUGUAGCUUACUCGCUGACGCUAUUUUACCUACGCUUAGGAUGUUGAUGUGAUACUGCGAGCA
This 775-nucleotide ribosomal RNA is filed under the name uncultured Neocallimastigales. RNAcentral describes it as "partial large subunit ribosomal RNA". It matches the Rfam family "Eukaryotic large subunit ribosomal RNA", at positions 19 to 646 of the family's 3401-position model. The record is from RNAcentral. Lineage: Eukaryota; Fungi; Neocallimastigomycota; Neocallimastigomycetes; Neocallimastigales.